Molecule: ribosomal RNA, 412 nt
Filed under: Rhagada minima
Lineage: Eukaryota; Metazoa; Mollusca; Gastropoda; Stylommatophora; Camaenidae
Description: partial 16S ribosomal RNA
Rfam family: Bacterial large subunit ribosomal RNA
Source: RNAcentral
CAAAAACAUAGCUAAAUGUCAUUAUAUUUGGUGUUUUCUGCUCAAUGAUAUAAUUAAAUAGCCGCAGUACCUUGACUGUGCAAAGGUAGCAUAAUCAAUUGGCUUAUAAUUGAAGUCUGGAAUGAAAGGAUAUACGGGUAAUUACUGUAUCUGAUAUUUAUACUGAAAUUGAUCUCCAAGUGCAAAUACUUGCAAUUAAUUGUUAGACGAGAAGACCCUAGAAAUUUGUGUAAAUGUUUAGUUGGGGCAACGUGGUAAGAAAUAACUUACAAUAAGGACAUGAAAAAAUGAUUUGAAAGAAAAAAUUACUCUAGGGAUAACAGCAUAAUUUAUUAAAGUUUGUGACCUCGAUGUUGGAUUUGGGAAUUAUAGUCCAGAAGACUUUUAAUUUUGCUCUGUUCGAGCGUAGCAC